Long non-coding RNA from Telopea speciosissima, 209 nucleotides. RefSeq lists it as uncharacterized. The record is from RefSeq and is a predicted model, not a curated record. The transcript is spliced from 2 exons. NCBI's taxonomy places the organism in Eukaryota, Viridiplantae, Streptophyta, Magnoliopsida, Proteales, Proteaceae.
GGAGUAUAUGACUUCGUUGGGUUCCAGUCUAACCCUGUUUUGGUCUCCAGUACAGUUCGUGCUUCAGAUAAAGUAUUUGAGUCUGCAAAGAAUGUCAAUGGGAAAUGCACAUUGGCAGCUUCAUUUGUGGAAUACAAUAAAUCAAUUGCCAAUGGCCUGAAAAAUAACAACAAAAUCUUCACAGGCUACCCAGUUGUUGGUUAUCAGGG